Molecule: ribosomal RNA, 497 nt
Filed under: uncultured bacterium
Lineage: Bacteria
Description: partial 16S ribosomal RNA
Rfam family: Bacterial small subunit ribosomal RNA
Source: RNAcentral
GAUGAACGCUGGCGGCGUGCCUAAUACAUGCAAGUCGAGCGAACAGACGAGGAGCUUGCUCCUCUGACGUUAGCGGCGGGCGGGUGAGUAACACGUGGAUAACCUACCUAUAGGACUGGGAUAACUUCGGGAAACCGGAUCUAAUACCGGAUAAUAUAUUGAACCGCAUGGUUCAAUAGUGAAAGACGGUUUUGCUGUCACUUAUAGAUGGAUCCGUGCCGCAUUAGCUAGUUGGUAAGGUAACGGCUUACCAAGGCGACGAUGCGUAGCCGACCUGAGAGGGUGAUCGGCCACACUGGAACUGAGACACGGUCCAGACUCCUACGGGAGGCAGCAGUAGGGAAUCUUCCGCAAAGGGCGAAAGCCUGACGGAGCAACGCCGCGUGAGUGAUGAAGGUCUUCGGAUCGUAAAACUCUGUUAUUAGGGAAGAACAAAUGUGUAAGUAACUAUGCACGUCUUGACGGUACCGAAUCAGAAAGCCACGGCUAACUACGUG